GAGUUUGAUCUUGGCUCAGAUUGAACGCUGGCGGCAUGCCUUACACAUGCAAGUCGAACGGCAGCACGGGAGCUUGCUCCUGGUGGGCGAGUGGCGAACGGGUGAGUAAUGCAUCGGAACGUAUCCUGGAGUGGGGGAUAACGUAGCGAAAGUUACGCUAAUACCGCAUAUUCUGUGAGCAGGAAAGCGGGGGACCUUCGGGCCUCGCGCUCUUGGAGCGGCCGAUGUCGGAUUAGCUAGUUGGUGAGGUAAAGGCUCACCAAGGCGACGAUCCGUAGCAGGUCUGAGAGGAUGAUCUGCCACACUGGAACUGAGAC
This 317-nucleotide ribosomal RNA is filed under the name bacterium enrichment culture clone ALO1_GLFRUDD03FRXVC. RNAcentral describes it as "bacterial SSU rRNA". It matches the Rfam family "Bacterial small subunit ribosomal RNA", at positions 9 to 325 of the family's 1533-position model. The record is from RNAcentral.